Molecule: long non-coding RNA, 397 nt
Organism: Thalassophryne amazonica
Lineage: Eukaryota; Metazoa; Chordata; Actinopteri; Batrachoidiformes; Batrachoididae
Exons: 2
Source: RefSeq, a predicted model, not a curated record
AGACCGCUAAGGCCAGACCACAAUCAAGAUCAAGCCCGACAGCCAGCACCUCUCUGUGUGCACCUCAGGUUCCACCUGCCCAGAAUGACGGCACAGAGGGCAGCUCACCAGAAGGAGAGUCCAUCAAUGUGUCUCAGUACUUCUUAAGUGACAUUUUUACAGAUGUGGUCGAAGGAUGAACAUUGUACAUUAGUGGACUAAUAAAUUAGACUUUUUUAAAGUUUUGUUAAGAUAUCACUGCAAAUAUUAAUUUUAUAAUGUAUUUUUCACAGUUUUGUAUUUUACGUUGGACUGAAGCAGUACCUUGUAAACUUACCAUUUUAAACAGAAAAGGACUGGAAAAAAUAAUGGACUUUAAUGUACAGUUGAAAUACAUCAAGUCUUUGGAUGUCACUCC